AGCAGAGUAGGAUUUUGCGCGUUGUAGUGCCUUCUGAACGGGGAGUUGUCGGAGGGACGAAAAGCCCAUUGGCUUGCGGUGCAAAGUUCGCAUCCCGCAGCU
This 102-nucleotide non-coding RNA is filed under the name Oxobacter pfennigii. RNAcentral's name for it is "THF-I sequence". It matches the Rfam family "THF (Tetrahydrofolate) riboswitch aptamer". From Rfam's summary of the family: THF riboswitch presents a pseudoknot that joins P1-P2 and the loop of P3 and two THF binding. The record is from Rfam by way of RNAcentral. Lineage: Bacteria; Bacillati; Bacillota; Clostridia; Eubacteriales; Clostridiaceae.